Molecule: long non-coding RNA, 1088 nt
Organism: Rhododendron vialii
Lineage: Eukaryota; Viridiplantae; Streptophyta; Magnoliopsida; Ericales; Ericaceae
Exons: 2
Source: RefSeq, a predicted model, not a curated record
UCUAACAGUUUUUCUCUAAUUACUUACCUCUGCCUCCAAUUCUUCUUCCCGAAGCACAAAUGAUUCCCAACCUCUUACGAGUACCUCUAUCCCCUCCUUCACACUACACAAACCAGAGAGAGAGAGAGAGAGAGAGAGAGAGAGAGAGAGAGCAUUUUAGAAGAGAAGUUGCAGAGAAGGAGAAGGAGAAGGAGUUCGGCCGCCGCUUGACGCCACCGUAACCCACCCGAAUCCCUCCGAUUCUAGCUUAAUCUGCAGGAAUUAAGGUAUCGAAGGAGAAACAGGAGCACCGAUUGAUCCGACUGAAGUCAACAUUGCGGAGGAAGAAGUUAAAGGGCCUUGGUUGCCUUAUCCUAAUUGCUCUGUUUAAUUUAAAUAAACUUUAUUUUGAGAAUUCAUAGUAUUCGAGAAUUGUAAUAAUUGUGAACUUAUUAUAUAUAUUCGGGGAACCCAAAAAAAUACCUCAUAGUUCUCGAUCAAAUUUUGAUGAUCUAAGCCGCUCAAUGUGAUCACAAUGUGAUUUUAAGGGUACUCGCGAGAAAUCAGCAAAACAAAUGACCGAGAAGGGCUUGAUCUGAACAGUUUCGAACAGUUUUUUAUUAAACGGUUCAAAUAAAAACUGCUCAAAUCAAGCCUUUUUCAGUCUUUUUUUUUUUGCUAAUUUCUCGCGGGCACCUUUAAAAUCACAUUCUGCACACAUUGAACGGUUCGGAUCAUAAAAAUUUGGUCGGAAACUAUGAGAUUGAGAUUUGAGGUGUUUUUUUAGGUGUUUUUUUGGUGUCCCUUGAACCUAUAUAUAUAUAUUGAUCGUCGUAUCUAAACCUAAAAAUUUGUUUCUCGUUAUUCGUACUAAAUAAAUGAGAUCACUUUGGAAAAAUGCAUUCUUUAACGUCUUCGAAAAAUCCGGGCGUUACAAUCAAUUUCCAAAAAACAGUCAUUAUGACCCCAUUCGUUUAAGGGUUUUAAAUUUUAAAUUCUAAUCAUUAUUUUAUUUCUUUCCAAUCAUUACUCUAAAAAAUGGUGUAACAUUUGUAAUUUCCCACGAUGUAUUUUUUGUUGAGAUGAAUAUUCAAAUACUUAUUUUGUCU